This 492-nucleotide ribosomal RNA is filed under the name uncultured bacterium. Its description in RNAcentral is "partial 16S ribosomal RNA". It matches the Rfam family "Bacterial small subunit ribosomal RNA", at positions 29 to 507 of the family's 1533-position model. The record is from RNAcentral.
AGUGAACGCUGGCGGUAGGCCUAACACAUGCAAGUCGAACGGCAGCACAGUAAGAGCUUGCUCUUACGGGUGGCGAGUGGCGGACGGGUGAGGAAUACAUCGGAAUCUACUUUUUCGUGGGGGAUAACGUAGGGAAACUUACGCUAAUACCGCAUACGACCUACGGGUGAAAGCAGGGGAUCUUCGGACCUUGCGCGAUUGAAUGAGCCGAUGUCGGAUUAGCUAGUUGGCGGGGUAAAGGCCCACCAAGGCGACGAUCCGUAGCUGGUCUGAGAGGAUGAUCAGCCACACUGGAACUGAGACACGGUCCAGACUCCUACGGGAGGCAGCAGUGGGGAAUAUUGGGCAAUGGGCGCAAGCCUGAUCCAGCCAUACCGCGUGAGUGAAGAAGGCCUUCGGGUUGUAAAGCCCUUUUGUUGGGAAAGAAAAGCAGCAGGUUAAUACCCCGCUAUUCUGACGGUACCCAAAGAAUAAGCACCGGCUAACUUCGUG